This 433-nucleotide ribosomal RNA is filed under the name uncultured bacterium. RNAcentral's name for it is "partial 16S ribosomal RNA". It matches the Rfam family "Bacterial small subunit ribosomal RNA", at positions 29 to 507 of the family's 1533-position model. The record is from RNAcentral.
AACGAACGCUGGCGGCAUGCCUAACGCAUGCAAGUCGAACGAGACCUUCGGGUCUAGUGGCGCACGGGUGCGUAACGCGUGGGAACCUGCCCUUAGGUUCGGAAUAACUCCCCGAAAGGGGUGCUAAUACCGGAUAAUGUCUUCGGACCAAAGAUUUAUCGCCUUUGGAUGGGCCCGCGUUGGAUUAGCUAGUUGGUAGGGUAAAAGCCUACCAAGGCGACGAUCCAUAGCUGGUCUGAGAGGAUGAUCAGCCACACUGGGACUGAGACACGGCCCAGACUCUUACGGGAGGCAGCAGUGGGGAAUAUUGGACAAUGGGCGAAAGCCUGAUCCAGCAAUGCCGCGUGAGUGAUGAAGGCCUUAGGGUUGUAAAGCUCUUUUACCCGGGAUGAUAAUGACAGUACCGGGAGAAUAAGCUCCGGCUAACUCCGUG